RNAcentral lists this ribosomal RNA (442 nucleotides) under uncultured bacterium. RNAcentral describes it as "bacterial SSU rRNA". It matches the Rfam family "Bacterial small subunit ribosomal RNA", at positions 339 to 796 of the family's 1533-position model. The record is from RNAcentral.
CUACGGGAGGCAGCAGUGGGGAAUCUUGCGCAAUGGGCGAAAGCCUGACGCAGCAACGCCGCGUGCGGGAUGACGGCCUUCGUGGUUGUAAACCGCUUUCAGUAGGGACGAAAAUGACGGUACCUGCAGAAGAAGUCCCGGCUAACUACGUGCCAGCAGCCGCGGUAAUACGUAGGGGACAAGCGUUGUCCGGAUUCAUUGGGCGUAAAGAGCUCGUAGGCGGUCUAGUAAGUUGGGUGUGAAAGCUCCGGGCUCAACCCGGAGAGGUCACCCAAAACUGCUAUGACUAGAGUCCAGUAGAGGAGCGUGGAAUUCCUGGUGUAGCGGUGGAAUGCGUAGAUAUCGGGAGGAACGCCAAAAGCGAAAGCAACCGGCUGGGUCGAGACUGACACUGAGGGACGAAAGCGUGGGUAGCGAACAGGAUUAGAUACCCCGGUAGUCC